GGGGGAUAACACUUAGAAAUAGGUGCUAAUACCGCAUAAGCGCACGGUUCCGCAUGGAACAGUGUGAAAAACUCCGGUGGUAUACGAUGGAUCCGCGUCUGAUUAGCCAGUUGGCGGGGUAACGGCCCACCAAAGCGACGAUCAGUAGCCGGCCUGAGAGGGUGAACGGCCACAUUGGGACUGAGACACGGCCCAAACUCCUACGGGAGGCAGCAGUGGGGAAUAUUGCACAAUGGGGGAAACCCUGAUGCAGCGACGCCGCGUGAGUGAAGAAGUAUUUCGGUACGUAAAGCUCUAUCAGCAGGGAAGAAAAAAAGUCCUUUGGACUUUGGACGGUACCUGACCAAGAAGCCCCGGCUAACUACGUGCCAGCAGCCGCGGUAAUACGUAGGGGGCAAGCGUUAUCCGGAUUUACUGGGUGUAAAGGGAGCGUAGACGGCAGCGCAAGUCUGGAGUGAAAUGCCGGGGCCCAACCCCGGAACUGCUUUGGAAACUGUGCAGCUGGAGUGCAGGAGAGGUAAGCGGAAUUCCUAGUGUAGCGGUGAAAUGCGUAGAUAUUAGGAGGAACACCAGUGGCGAAGGCGGCUUACUGGACUGUAACUGACGUUGAGGCUCGAAAGCGUGGGGAGCAAACAGGAUUAGAUACCCUGGUAGUCCACGCCGUAAACGAUGAUUACUAGGUGUCGGGGGGCCAAGGCCCUUCGGUGCCGCCGCAAACG
RNAcentral lists this ribosomal RNA (719 nucleotides) under uncultured bacterium. RNAcentral describes it as "bacterial SSU rRNA". It matches the Rfam family "Bacterial small subunit ribosomal RNA", at positions 138 to 857 of the family's 1533-position model. The record is from RNAcentral.